Podarcis muralis (Common wall lizard) is the source of this 287-nucleotide long non-coding RNA. RefSeq lists it as uncharacterized. The record is from RefSeq and is a predicted model, not a curated record. Lineage: Eukaryota; Metazoa; Chordata; Lepidosauria; Squamata; Lacertidae.
GUGCCUUUAUAAGAAAGAGAAGUUGGAUCCAGGUGAACCGUCAGUUUGUGACGUCCCUCCAAGAAUCUUGAGAAUCUUCCUCUCCUCUUUGGUGAUCGUCAUGAAAUUCUGGGUCCUCCUUUUGGUUGUUUGGGUUGCUUUUGCCAUGGUGUCCGCACGACCAUAUGAAGGUGAAGAAGGAACCGAUCCUAUAUCUGCAGAGCAUGAUCCUCUCCAAGACUCUGUGAAUCAAGACCGUCUUCUUGGCGGUCUCUUAGGACUUUUUGGAGGCUAGUAUGAUCUGGAUG